This 6566-nucleotide unclassified non-coding RNA is filed under the name Mizuhopecten yessoensis (Yesso scallop). RNAcentral describes it as "aP2-associated protein kinase 1-like, transcript variant X2". Lineage: Eukaryota; Metazoa; Mollusca; Bivalvia; Pectinida; Pectinidae. The record is from RNAcentral.
AUGCUAAAGAUUACAAGAGGCGUGUAGUGAACAAAAUUUGAUGGCGUGAUAUGUAUAUAAAAGCAGUUUUAGAUGUUAAUUGUUUGUAGCUUUAGUCACGUGAUUUACUUAUGAGGCGAGAUUUCCACCAUAUUUUGGUAGCAGGUGCUCGAUGACACCUUCUGAUUCAUCGAUAAUGUCACUGUCACCUUCUUCAAUGCACUGAAUCGCGGAUCUGUAGUAGUCCACUAUUGUCUGCGUUUACAGUAGCUAUGCUUGUCGUGCGGAAGUAAUGGUCAAGACAUAAUUCAGGAAAAUAGGGUCGACCCUGACCACAUGAAAUUAUUUCAGGGAAAAUCCGCCUACUUCAUAUCCUUCACAUUCGACACUACUGACAUUCCUAUAUAGUGAAAGUAGACACUAAACCGACACGAUGAAGAAACUAUUCUCGAAGAUAGACACUGGACAACAGAACCCUCAUAUUGGGAAAGUCUUCAAUGUUGGAAGAUUUAGCUGUACAGUUGAAGAUGUCAUUGCUGAAGGCGGAUUUGCUAUUGUGUUCCUGGUGAAGGCUCAGAAUGGUAACCACUAUGCCCUGAAGCGUCUGUUUGUAAACAAUGACCAGGACCUGACUGUGUGUAAGAGAGAAAUACACAUAGCGAAAACAUUAUCGGGCCAUAAGAAUAUCAUUAAGUAUGUAGAUUCCAGUAUUACAGUAACAACCAAUCGGGUGUACGAGGUGAUGAUUUUAAUGCAAUAUUGUAGAGGUCAUGUUAUACAAUUAAUGAAUGACAGAUUGAAUGUUGGAUUUUCGGAAAAAGAAGUUUUGCGGAUAUUCUGUGAUGUGUGUGAAGCAGUAGCCAGACUGCACCACUGUCAGACUCCCAUAAUACACAGAGAUUUAAAGGUGGAGAAUAUACUUAUAGCUGACAGUAGUCAUUACGUGCUGUGUGACUUCGGCAGCGCUACAGCCAAAGUCCUUGAUCCAAGUCAACAAAACGUUCCUCAGGUAGAAGAUGAAAUUCAAAAAUAUACAACUCUAUCAUACCGGUCACCAGAAAUGGUAGAUCUCUACAAUGGAAAACCAAUAUCCACCAAGGCAGAUAUAUGGGCAUUAGGUUGUAUGUUAUACAAGUUGUGUUUCUUCAUCUUACCCUUUGGGGAAAGUACACUGGCUAUACAGAGUGGAACCUUCACCAUACCAGAUAACUCCAGAUACUCUAACGGGCUUCAUGCACUUAUAGCGUACAUGCUGGAGAUAGACCCUGCGAAAAGACCAGAUAUUUACCAAGUGUCAUAUGUAGCAUUUAAACUGGUGGGCAGAGACUGUCCUGUCUCCAAUAUGUUUAGUUGUAAAACACCUGAAAUUGCCAAGCUAACACUACCUAUGACAGAGUCAGAGGCAAGACAAGUGAAAACGGCAACAUACAAAACUGUGUCAUCGUCAGCUAUAGAGAGUACCACAGUCACCCCACGGUCUCGGCCUAAGGGACAAGCUAUUCCACAGGGGGCCACUUUGGGUCUGCCCCUACAGACCUCUGUCGCACCCCGUAAACGGCCAACCCCUACACACACUCCCAAUACCGAUAUAUCACAAGCAAGUUCCAGUCAAUUGCCUCCAGCAACACAAUCACAAAAUUCCAGCAGACCUAGUCAGCAACAACAGCAGUUUUAUGGUGCCAGUGGUCCAACGCAGGCAGCAGCGGAACACUACAACCAGGCUCCUAACUCGGGGAUGACGGCCACAAAUCAGUACCCUCAAAACCAGCAACAGUACAUGGCUCAGCAAAAGGCUCUCCAGCAACAGUUGUACACACAACAGAUGUAUAAACAACAACAGCAACAAAAACUAUAUAUGCAGCAGCAGCAGCAGCAGCAACAACAACAACAACAACAACAACAACAACAACAACAACAACAACAACAACAACAACAACAACAACAACAACAACAACAGUAUAUGCAAAGUCUUCAACAUCAACAGAAUCUACAACAACAGCAACAACGGUUAAAUGUGGCUCAGCAAAGAGUAAUGAGUCAUUCCCAUCAUGAUGGACAGUCCGUUGCGCCUGCUGCCAUCCACAGCAGUCAUAGUAGUGAGGCACUCUUCUCUAACUUCUCCGACACUUUUCAUCAAGAAAGAACAAAUGUUACUGACGAUUGUGUGUAUAACUCGAGUGUUGGUCAGAACAAUAUGUCAGGUCGCAACUCCAUUGAGGACAAUUUUAAAAUCUCUAGCACUUCUCAUUCUCGACAGAAAGGCAGUACAGGCAAAGAUUCGGAUGCUCAGCCACUGAUAUCUAUAACACCGCCACUGUCACCAAAGGUUGUCAAGAGUCACCGUAGAAACGUCAGUGAUACGUCCUACGUAACCAUGGGAGGAAAGGGAAGUGCCUUCAGGUUGGUCAAGGGAAGAAAUUACCAGGGGAACUUUCUGUCUGCACCAUUACAAGGGAAGUCGAAAUCAGCCACCACCUCACCUGUACAGUCCUCAUCCAUGUCACCAACACUAACACGAGCUGUAUCAGCUGAUAUAUCAGACUGGAAUCCUUUUGAUGAUAACUUCGGUGUUGAUACAGAAGAGGAAAUAUUUGGCAAGGAAUUUGAUAAACUAAGACGUGGCUCCAAUAGCAGUAUAUCUAAUGUUAAGAGUAGAGAAGACCUUGUGAUGUCAGGCUCCGACUCAUCAGACCCCUUCACUAGUGCACCAUUCAAAAAACCAGGUAGAACAGGGCCAGGCAGUUCUCACCACCGGAGCACUUCCAGCACAUCCAACUCCAGUUAUGGAGGAGAAGAAAAUGAGGAAAAAUCCAACAGCAAGCAGGACCGGAAGGAACCCAAGGAUGUAGCCAACCAGGAGACAGAGUCACAUGACUUCUUUGGUGCCUCCUUAGUAAAGGCGGCAUUGAACCGGGCGUCACGCUACCAACAACUUGUCGACACGGAUGAGGAAAGUGAAGAGCGUAAAGUCUCCAAACCUGUACAGAUAGAGAGCCAGACUAAACCCCCCAAAGAACAGGCAGAGUCAAGUUCCUCAUACGCAGAAGACGACCAUCCAGGAGUACAUGUAAACAAACGUGUAGUAGACUUCAGUUACAAGGAGUUAGAGGACGAGUAUGGGAGUCGCCCUGUUCCUGCCGCAUCUGCAAAUAAACCGCGUGAGGGACACAAGGUGGCAGCGCAAGAGUUUAACAAUCGGCGGCCUGUAGGGCAUGAAGUACCACCAGGUACGGAUCAUGGAAGCAUAAAUGCAUCAGACAGGAUUGUUGGUCAUGAGUAUGGUGUAAGGCCACUUCUGGAUGAUGAUGAGUUAGAGGAUGCAUAUGGAAUGCAACAUCACUGUGGUAACUCGGAGACAGGGUAUUCACAUGAUCAUGAUGACAGUACCCCCAGUAGUAACAGCACUGUGUCCCCAAACAUGUUGGGUAGUCCUUCCAUGUCCCCAUCAAUAGAGAGAGGUAAAUCUGAUCCAUUUGCAUCUGCACCAUUUAGGAAGAAGCAGACCAGAAAAAAACGCCCAUCUAGUGCUGUAAUGCCAGCUAAACCGCCAGGAAACUCAGAUAUAUUUGCAAAGGCACCGUUCAAACCAAAGUUCAUGACAAAGUCUAAAACUCACCAGUCUAUAGGAAGCCCACUACUGCAGGGUGACAUGGACAAAACUGAGGAGAGUGUAGGAAGCGAGACUAGCAAUGGCGAUAUAUUUGGCAAGGCUCCCUUCAAAAUAGCUCCUGCAACUAAACCUAAACCAUUGAUGCAUGAAUUGUCUCCCCCUUGUGAGCCAGUGUCAACUGUAGGCCAGACCUCUGAACAGGUCAAACAAACUGUGAUAGUAUCAACUCCCUCCGUUAUACCACCCAACUCCAGACAGUUCUACUCCAUGUCAACCACCACCUCCCACAUGGCAGGUGUACAAGCAUCCAUACAACAACCCCCAAAGGAACACUUCUCCGCCCCUGAUCCCUUUGGGGCUGUACCAUUUGGUCACAUGAGUAUGAAUAAAAAGGCUGAUGAUUUUGUGCAGACAGGUAAUGUGAAAAAAUCUCAGUCAUUUGGUUAUAACCCAAGGAACAUGGUAUCUAGACAGACACAGGAUGUGAGGCAAACGUCUGGUGUUAGUGAUGUUGGUUACAAAACCCUCAGUAAUGAGGAAAUUAGAUUUCCAGAUUCCAUCUCCCCACAGCACCAACAAGCUGAAGACUUUUUAUUGAGUAGAGAGAGCGAUGAUGAUGAGUCAGAGGAGGAUGAUGAGGAGGAAAACCUCAGUUCCAGUUUCCAGCAUUCCAGGGGGCGCACCAAGCCUGCACGGCGGAGCCCGCGUGAUACGGUUUCUACGUCAGGGUUCGCAAAUAUGAGUUUUAAUGAUGAUGAUGAAGGAGGGGACCCUGACGGGGUUCACGCUCAGGGAUUCAUGGGGCAGGACUUGAAUAAAUGUAUUGGCCAUAAUUUACAUGUGUCAAGCAUUCGCCAUCCUGCAUACACCAAGGAAUCUAACUCGCAGGUAGCAAAUGCUUCAACAGAAGCAAUGAAGGUUAGCUCUGGUGGUUACGACACCUUCACAUGGCCGAGGAAACAACGGAAGAUUCCCACAAUCAGUAUGGCUACUAAUGAACCGUUUAGUUCUAAAAAGAAAGUAGAUUUGGUGUCAAAGUGAUGACAACAAAGAUAGACUUGGUGUCAAUGUAAUGAUUUGCUUGUGAUUUUGGUGAAUUUGGUGAUUUUUUUUUAUCUAUAAUAUACCAGAAAAACUAAUAAAAUUCCGUUAAAGUUUGUUUUGUUUACAUAGACUUACAGUAGAUACUUUUGUAGUUUUUGCUUAGAGUUGUGCUGUUGAGGUAAUAAAUUUAAUGAUGCAAGAUUGUACAUUUAUACAUUUUCUAGAUCUCCUGUAUAUUUGAUAUAGUUUCUAGAUCCCCCUGUACAUUUGAUAUAGUUUCUAGAUAUCCUGUACAUUUGAUGUAGUUUCUUGAUCCCCCUGUGCAUUUGAUAUAGUUUCUAGAUCUCCUAUAUAUUUGAUAUAGUUUUUACAUCUCCUGUAUAUUUGAUGUAGUUUCUUGAUCCCCUGUGCAUUUGAUUUAGUUUCUAGAUCUCCUAUACUUUGCCCGGUGCUUUCUUUGUCCCUAAUGACCUCCUCUUCACUAUUUAUACAACAUAGGUUCCUUUUUAGGUCUUAUAUCGAUCAGCAAUACAACAACCAUCCACAGAGAGUGCAUCAAACGGACACGGAGAACUCUAACACCAAACAACUUGUUCUUUUAUCGAUGUUAAGAUUAUGUGUUAUAACAAAAAUGUUUUCCUAUCUUAUACUCUGUAUGAAUGUUUAUUUUAUUUUGUAGAUACAUAAAAUAUCUUUGAACUUUAUUCAAUAUACUAAAUGUGUAUCCCUGUCCCACACAGGUGGGCCGUACUGUUUUUGUGCUCUAUCUGGUUUCGAGGGAUGGGGUUAGGGGGAGGGGAUCUUGCCUGCAUUUUCUGAUUUGUUAGAAUUUACAGUCUGUGUAAUCUUAAAAUGGUGUGGAGAAGUCAUAAAGCAAUGACAUAGGCCUAGAAAUUGAACUACAUUUUUAUGAAUCUGAUAUUUUGGCUGUACGUGGGUGCGUUUGAUAUAGCUUUCAAAGCCGUUCUGUUUUAGUAUACUUUUACUUAUGAAAUAUAAGGUCUUUCAGUGAAAAUAAGUAUGUAUUUUCGUUUCGUGACAAACUCACUUUGUGUUAAUUAUCACACCGACCAGAGGGCAGAAUUUAGUACUAAAAAUAACAAACUAUAGGCGUUGUCGUUUAUGACAUCUCAAUAACACUGGCAUAUUGUGUGACAUCACUUACGCUUUCCUUGUCCUAACAUUGUUGUUGGUGGACAGUCUUUUUAUGAAGCUUAUGACUUAAUGAAGAAAACUGUUUUAAACAGAAUAGUAAUGGUGUAAUAGGGACCAAUACAAUGACUUUGUCUUUAAAUACAAUAUCUUAAUCACCACAUUUUCUGAUAUUUUUGGAUGAUAAUGUGUAGUACACUCUUAUUAUAGAAAUGAAAUGACUAGUUAUGUAAAUCAAUUCUAUUAAAUAAUUGAAAGGUCUUAUCUGCAAACAUUUUCAUUUACUGCUACCGUAGAUAACUUAAUUUAUGAGCAUGUUUUAAUUUUUCAUUUGUAUCAUGCAAAUAUUUUUUGUAAAUGUUUGCAUAAAAAUACAUCUGGCAAAGACCAAACAAUUUUUUUGAAGGGUGGAGGGGGUGGGGGGACAAGGCCAGUCCAUUAGGUUUUGGUAUUUUAAACCUCUGUGCACCCUGUACCACUCAGCAAUAAGAAUUAAAAAGAGUCAUAUCAAGACCCCUAAUACUGUAACUCCAUUCUUAAAAUCACUAUUAUGUACUGCAUUCCCCAGUCCGAGUUAUAUUAUCGGAACGAUUGUUUUAUCAUAAUUCUGGUAGAUAUCAGGUACCAAGUCUGGCUGUAGAGAGUUGAACUCGUCGAUGGCUUGAAUUACUGACAAAUCUAUCUAUAUUAAUAGGUGAUGUGCAUUUCAAAGCAGUACAUGUUGAUACCUCCUGUUACCUAGGCUGACAAAGCAGUACAUGUUGAUACCACCUGUUACCUA